AAUAGAUUGCGGGGGGACUCUACGGAGUUGAGAAGGUUAAAACCUGACCCUUUGAACCUGUCAGUUAACACUGGCGCAGGGAAGCAAAUGCAGAACGAAU
This 100-nucleotide non-coding RNA is filed under the name Clostridium sp. RNAcentral describes it as "TPP sequence". It matches the Rfam family "TPP riboswitch aptamer (THI element)". From Rfam's summary of the family: Vitamin B(1) in its active form thiamin pyrophosphate (TPP) is an essential coenzyme that is synthesised by coupling of pyrimidine and thiazole moieties in bacteria. The previously detected thiamin-regulatory element, thi box was extended, resulting in a new, highly conserved RNA secondary structure, the THI element, which is widely distributed in eubacteria and also occurs in some archaea. Analysis of operon structures identified a large number of new candidate thiamin-regulated genes, mostly transporters, in various prokaryotic organisms. The record is from RNAcentral. RNAcentral also lists the same sequence under 1 other name. Lineage: Bacteria; Bacillati; Bacillota; Clostridia; Eubacteriales; Clostridiaceae.